GCACGUCGGCGGCGGUUCGAUUCCCAGCUCUCCUCUCCUUACCCUUUUUCUUUCUCACCCUCCCUUCUCCUUCUUUGACGCUCAGACCAUCCUCCUCCCGCGCGUCGCGGCUCACCUGCACCGGCGCGCCGCUCCCCCGCCGGCCGCUGAUGCCACGCCCGCCGGCCGCGGCUGCCCACGACGGGUGCCGCUGCUGCCCUCCGCUCGAGGUCCGCUGCUGCCCCACGGCCCGGACGCGGCUCCCCAAGCCGGCCGGCGCAGAAGCUGCCUCGCCGGGCAUGGAUGCCCCUGCAGCUUCACUCACGGACGCGGCUGCUACGCUAGCCGGCCGCCGCUCCACGCGCUGCUGGCCGCCGCUACAGCUCCUCUCGCCGCCCACGGCUGUCCGCCGCAGCUCACCUCGCACUGCGACUCCCCCAUGAGGCCCCCUCGACGCGUCGUCGUACCGCAGUCUCCAACACAUCCAGCCCGCCUUGGAUCUAGAUCAGUUGCUGUGCAAUAUGGAGGAGGAACCGGAAGUCACACCUCCUUCGAAAGCACUCCUGCAGAUCCUGCGCUGCUUUCCAAGUGCUUCCCUCGCCGUCAAGCUGUUCGAUGAAACGUUUAGCCCAUGUCUGCUUUAGUCAGGUACAUUCAGCUGUUUGGUAUGGAUCCGCAAGGGAUGAGGCAUUGAUGCCAGCUACGUGACUUCUUGUCUUUGUUCCAGGUAGGCGUAUGUAUUCUUUGUUAUUGCGAUUUCCCUAAGAACUUAGAAAAUUAUGCACCUAUUUAAUAGGUUUUGUAUGUGCAAAGUAAUAUCACCUGGAUUGCUUUUAUCCGUGAAAA
Molecule: long non-coding RNA, 825 nt
Organism: Panicum virgatum (switchgrass)
Lineage: Eukaryota; Viridiplantae; Streptophyta; Magnoliopsida; Poales; Poaceae
Exons: 2
Source: RefSeq, a predicted model, not a curated record